This 466-nucleotide ribosomal RNA is filed under the name uncultured bacterium. Its description in RNAcentral is "partial 16S ribosomal RNA". It matches the Rfam family "Bacterial small subunit ribosomal RNA", at positions 29 to 507 of the family's 1533-position model. The record is from RNAcentral.
ACGAACGCUGGCGGCGUGCUUAACCCCUGCCAGUCGAACGGAAAGGCCUCUUUCGGGGGGUACUCGAGUGGCGAACGGGUGAGUAACACGUGAGUAACCUGCCCUUGACUUUGGGAUAACUUCAGGAAACUGGGGCUAAUACCGGAUAGGAGCUCCUGCUGCAUGGUGGGGGUUGGAAAGUUUCGGCGGUUGGGGAUGGACUCGCGGCUUAUCAGCUUGUUGGUGGGGUAGUGGCUUACCAAGGCUUUGACGGGUAGCCGGCCUGAGAGGGUGACCGGCCACAGUGGGACUGAGAUACGGCCCAGACUCCGACGGGAGGCAGCAGGGGGGAAUAUUGCACAAUGGGUGGAAGCCUGAUGCAGCAACGCCGUGUGCGGGAUGACGGCCUUCGGGUUGUAAACCGCUUUCGCUCAUGACGAAGCUUUGUGUGACGGUAGUGGGUAAAGAAGCACCGGCUAACUACGUG